AAAUUGAAGAGUUUGAUCAUGGCUCAGAUUGAACGCUGGCGGCAGGCCUAACACAUGCAAGUCGAACGGUAACAGGAAGCAGCUUGCUGCUUCGCUGACGAGUGGCGGACGGGUGAGUAAUGUCUGGGAAACUGCCUGAUGGAGGGGGAUAACUACUGGAAACGGUAGCUAAUACCGCAUAAUGUCGCAAGACCAAAGAGGGGGACCUUCGGGCCUCUUGCCAUCGGAUGUGCCCAGAUGGGAUUAGCUAGUAGGUGGGGUAACGGCUCACCUAGGCGACGAUCCCUAGCUGGUCUGAGAGGAUGACCAGCCACACUGGAACUGAGACACGGUCCAGACUCCUACGGGAGGCAGCAGUGGGGAAUAUUGCACAAUGGGCGCAAGCCUGAUGCAGCCAUGCCGCGUGUAUGAAGAAGGCCUUCGGGUUGUAAAGUACUUUCAGCGGGGAGGAAGGGAGUAAAGUUAAUACCUUUGCUCAUUGACGUUACCCGCAGAAGAAGCACCGGCUAACUCCGUGCCAGCAGCCGCGGUAAUACGGAGGGUGCAAGCGUUAAUCGGAAUUACUGGGCGUAAAGCGCACGCAGGCGGUUUGUUAAGUCAGAUGUGAAAUCCCCGGGCUCAACCUGGGAACUGCAUCUGAUACUGGCAAGCUUGAGUCUCGUAGAGGGGGGUAGAAUUCCAGGUGUAGCGGUGAAAUGCGUAGAGAUCUGGAGGAAUACCGGUGGCGAAGGCGGCCCCCUGGACGAAGACUGACGCUCAGGUGCGAAAGCGUGGGGAGCAAACAGGAUUAGAUACCCUGGUAGUCCACGCCGUAAACGAUGUCGACUUGGAGGUUGUGCCCUUGAGGCGUGGCUUCCGGAGCUAACGCGUUAAGUCGACCGCCUGGGGAGUACGGCCGCAAGGUUAAAACUCAAAUGAAUUGACGGGGGCCCGCACAAGCGGUGGAGCAUGUGGUUUAAUUCGAUGCAACGCGAAGAACCUUACCUGGUCUUGACAUCCACGGAAGUUUUCAGAGAUGAGAAUGUGCCUUCGGGAACCGUGAGACAGGUGCUGCAUGGCUGUCGUCAGCUCGUGUUGUGAAAUGUUGGGUUAAGUCCCGCAACGAGCGCAACCCUUAUCCUUUGUUGCCAGCGGUCCGGCCGGGAACUCAAAGGAGACUGCCAGUGAUAAACUGGAGGAAGGUGGGGAUGACGUCAAGUCAUCAUGGCCCUUACGACCAGGGCUACACACGUGCUACAAUGGCGCAUACAAAGAGAAGCGACCUCGCGAGAGCAAGCGGACCUCAUAAAGUGCGUCGUAGUCCGGAUUGGAGUCUGCAACUCGACUCCAUGAAGUCGGAAUCGCUAGUAAUCGUGGAUCAGAAUGCCACGGUGAAUACGUUCCCGGGCCUUGUACACACCGCCCGUCACACCAUGGGAGUGGGUUGCAAAAGAAGUAGGUAGCUUAACCUUCGGGAGGGCGCUUACCACUUUGUGAUUCAUGACUGGGGUGAAGUCGUAACAAGGUAACCGUAGGGGAACCUGCGGUUGGAUCACCUCCUUACCUUAAAGAAGC
This 1554-nucleotide ribosomal RNA is filed under the name Escherichia coli. RNAcentral describes it as "bacterial SSU rRNA". It matches the Rfam family "Bacterial small subunit ribosomal RNA". RNAcentral also lists the same sequence under 2 other names. Lineage: Bacteria; Pseudomonadati; Pseudomonadota; Gammaproteobacteria; Enterobacterales; Enterobacteriaceae. The record is from RNAcentral.